AGAGUUUGAUCCUGGCUCAGGACGAACGCUGGCGGCGCGCCUAAUACAUGCAAGUCGUACGGGUCCCCUUCGGGGGGCCAGUGGCGGACGGGUGAGUAACACGUGGGUGACCUGCCCUCAAGUGGGGAAUAACGCUGCGAAAGCAGCGCUAAUACCGCAUAUCCUCCACCCUUCGGUGGGCGGAGGAAAGCUCCGGCGCUUGAGGAGGGGCCUGCGGCCGAUUAGCUAGUCGGAGGGGUAACGGCCCACCGAGGCACCGAUCGGUAGCUGGUCUGAGAGGGUGAUCAACCACACUGGGACUGAAACACGGCCCAGACUCCUACGGGAGGCAGCAGUAAGGGAUC
Molecule: ribosomal RNA, 344 nt
Filed under: uncultured bacterium
Lineage: Bacteria
Description: bacterial SSU rRNA
Rfam family: Bacterial small subunit ribosomal RNA
Source: RNAcentral